This 588-nucleotide ribosomal RNA is filed under the name Salmonella enterica subsp. enterica serovar Cerro. Its description in RNAcentral is "partial 23S ribosomal RNA". It matches the Rfam family "Bacterial large subunit ribosomal RNA", at positions 711 to 1296 of the family's 2925-position model. Lineage: Bacteria; Pseudomonadati; Pseudomonadota; Gammaproteobacteria; Enterobacterales; Enterobacteriaceae. The record is from RNAcentral.
AGACCCGAAACCCGGUGAUCUAGCCAUGGGCAGGUUGAAGGUUGGGUAACACUAACUGGAGGACCGAACCGACUAAUGUUGAAAAAUUAGCGGAUGACCUGUGGCUGGGGGUGAAAGGCCAAUCAAACCGGGAGAUAGCUGGUUCUCCCCGAAAGCUAUUUAGGUAGCGCCUCGUGAAUUCAUCUCCGGGGGUAGAGCACUGUUUCGGCUAGGGGGCCAUCCCGGCUUACCAACCCGAUGCAAACUGCGAAUACCGGAGAAUGUUAUCACGGGAGACACACGGCGGGUGCUAACGUCCGUCGUGAAGAGGGAAACAACCCAGACCGCCAGCUAAGGUCCCAAAGUCAUGGUUAAGUGGGAAACGAUGUGGGAAGGCCCAGACAGCCAGGAUGUUGGCUUAGAAGCAGCCAUCAUUUAAAGAAAGCGUAAUAGCUCACUGGUCGAGUCGGCCUGCGCGGAAGAUGUAACGGGGCUAAACCAUGCACCGAAGCUGCGGCAGCGACACUAUGUGUUGUUGGGUAGGGGAGCGUUCUGUAAGCCUGUGAAGGUGUGCUGUGAGGCAUGCUGGAGGUAUCAGAAGUGCGAAUG